AGUAUAAAACAACCUCCAUGAAGAAAGGACUAAAAAUCCUUAUUAGAGAAAUACACUUCCAAAAAUUAACAAAUUAACUUUUAAUGAUCCGAUAUUUGAUCAACGAACCAAGUUACCCUGGGGAUAACAGCGCAAUCCACCUCAAGAGCUCAUAUCGACAAGUGGGUUUACGACCUCGAUGUUGGAUCAGGGUAUCCUAGUGGUGCAGCAGCUACUGAUGGUUCGUUUGUUCAACGAUUAAAACCCUACGUGAUCU
This 256-nucleotide ribosomal RNA is filed under the name Boophis aff. englaenderi CaNEW. RNAcentral's name for it is "partial large subunit ribosomal RNA". It matches the Rfam family "Bacterial large subunit ribosomal RNA", at positions 2329 to 2606 of the family's 2925-position model. Lineage: Eukaryota; Metazoa; Chordata; Amphibia; Anura; Mantellidae. The record is from RNAcentral.